RNAcentral lists this ribosomal RNA (433 nucleotides) under uncultured bacterium. Its description in RNAcentral is "partial 16S ribosomal RNA". It matches the Rfam family "Bacterial small subunit ribosomal RNA", at positions 29 to 507 of the family's 1533-position model. The record is from RNAcentral.
AACGAACGCUGGCGGCAGGCUUAACACAUGCAAGUCGAGCGAGACCUUCGGGUCUAGCGGCGGACGGGUGAGUAACGCGUGGGAACGUGCCCUUCUCUACGGAAUAGCCCCGGGAAACUGGGAGUAAUACCGUAUACGCCCUUUGGGGGAAAGAUUUAUCGGAGAAGGAUCGGCCCGCGUUGGAUUAGGUAGUUGGUGGGGUAAUGGCCCACCAAGCCGACGAUCCAUAGCUGGUUUGAGAGGAUGAUCAGCCACACUGGGACUGAGACACGGCCCAGACUCCUACGGGAGGCAGCAGUGGGGAAUCUUAGACAAUGGGGGCAACCCUGAUCUAGCCAUGCCGCGUGAGUGAUGAAGGCCUUAGGAUUGUAAAGCUCUUUCAGCUGGGAAGAUAAUGACGGUACCAGCAGAAGAAGCCCCGGCUAACUCCGUG